Lolium perenne is the source of this 3052-nucleotide RNA transcript. RefSeq lists it as uncharacterized. The record is from RefSeq and is a predicted model, not a curated record. NCBI's taxonomy places the organism in Eukaryota, Viridiplantae, Streptophyta, Magnoliopsida, Poales, Poaceae.
AUACGCACGCUUCCUCGCUCGCGUCGCGCACUAUCCCUCUCCUUCUCUCCCCGUCGCCGCCAUGUACGGAGUAAAAAAAAAGAGAAACUCCCUCUGCUCGUCGUCGUCGGCCUCUCCCUGUGGCUCCCCGUCGGCCGUCGCGGCCCUCUUCCUCACCGCUCCCCAUCGCCCCCCACUUCCUCGUCGCUCCCCACCGCCGCCUUUUCUCUCCACCGCCCCGUUUCCUCUCGAUCCCCUCACACCCCGCGUGCACCAGAAAUCUGGAGGUCAAAGGUGCCAACUUUCUUCGCCGGCGACGAGCUGCUGGGCGACGUAGGUACUGGAUCUGCGAGCGCAGGCGCUCGAUCUGCGUGCCCCGCCCGGGAGACGACACCUCGCGCCCCGUCACGCCCAUCACGGGCGACGGCAUCGGGGCUCUCGUGAUCUCGUCACCGGAGCCGUGCAGCAGGUCAUGGAGCUCGCCCCUCUACUUCCAGACAUACCAUGUCCACAGAGACAUGCCCACCGUGCCCCCCCGCGGUCAUCGACUCCAUUCGCCCAUGGUCUGCCUCAAGGGUGAGGAGGAACAGCCAGAUCCGCACGGGUUCGCUCGUCUCCAAAAGCUCCUUCUCACCCGCUGCGUACGCCGCACCGCCGUCCGCCGGCGAGGCUAGCUGCAGCUUGGCAAGGCCGCGACGCCGGCUCAAGGAACUUGAGGUCGUCCUGUCCAUCUGCUCCAGGACGUGCAGCUCGUCCUCCGUUUGCUUAGAGAAUUGCUUAACGACGAGUUCUGGGAUAUUCGGCAAAGACGUGCCACUGGGGAGGUUUGUAGAGAGGGGGACAACAUACAUAUGAACACAAAGCAGUGGGAAGAUGGCGCCUUCACACGGAGCAGCGGGAAGACUGUCGCCUGCCCCGCCGUGCCACGGCUCCGUGCAUCUGCCUGAUUACAGAUCGUGGGCCAAGUUCUCGGGGAGCAGAACGUUCGCCGGUCUAACAACACCUUCUUCUGCUUCGUCACCAUCACCGUCAUCAAGGGAACCGACGUGAUGCCUUGUGGCAUCUCUACUUUGAGCUGCAAGGAGACCUUGACCCAAAAAGGAAAGAAGUUUGCAUUUUGCAAGGACCUGGGGGACCACCAGCAGGAAGUGCAGGACCUGGGGGACCACCAGCAGGACCUUCCCUAUGAAGAGGCUCGUUCCAAUGUUUUUGCAACCUGAAUGCACAGUAGGAGCUUCCAAGAAGUAUGACAAAGUACAUCCUCAUCUUCAGUGAUGACUCCGUGAGCUCCCUAAAUUGUUAAUAUAACUGAACGUUCAAAACACUGUAUAGCCUUAAUUUCUAAACUGAUACUAAAAUGAUUAGAAGUGCCUACAGCUUUGUGUCCUUUCAUGGCAUGAUUGUUGCUGGUCCAUCAUUGGAGCUACAGGCAUAACCCCUUUUUUCUGUCUCUUUGUAGCAUGCUCCCACUCAUGGCUUAUAUCGUCGUUUCAUUUUGUUUUCAUUUGAGGUGGUGUGGUUACAAAAUAUAGAAUGUGUGGAUGUGCAAUUAGGCCAUGUUGGUUCAGGGAUAUGCGGAAUCAAGAGAAGUUAUUGCCAUCGUGCUUAUUUUUCUUAUAUGUAGACUAGGAUAUUAUAGGGAUACCAGGCCAGUGGCUUUUUCAUAUAUUACUUUCUUUAUUCAAGUUGAGCAAAAUAGCUUCAAGAGAUAGCUAACCUAAUUAUCUGCAAAAGGACAAGUAAGAACACACUUGUAAGUAGCCUGUACAUGUGUAAGUUUUUGUUAUUCAGGUUGAAUAAAAACCUACAUGAGAUAUCUAUCUAAAUUAUUUGCAAAAGGAAAAAUAUAUGCAUCUAGGUAAGUUUGCACCCAUUUGUUUUCUAAUGGUUUAGUGCACAAUGCUCACACAGUUUCAGUCUACUAGCAUUUAGGAUAUGGAACAUUGAGUGUCCAACACUUUACUAUUGCUCCAUAUUUUGUUAGUUUUAACUGAUUUCAAUAAACCAUGGAGGCGUGUGUACUACUCAAAACAGCGAAGAAGGAUUUUCUUUUUCUCAAGACUCAUACUGUCUUUUUUGUUUAUUCAGAUACGGGUUUUCUUAGAUCAGCCACCGGCACAGAUAACGCAAGGAGCAUAUAAUAACGUAAUUAUACUGCUUAACUACAAUAGUACUAAAUAAGUAAAUAUACUUGCAUACAGUGCUAUUGGUUUUAUCAGAAAAACAAUCAGGGUACCUAUUGGUUUUGUAUGGGCUUGCCACAGGAAGUAAUUAGUUAUAGAACACUUUAUCUUUAUAGAUGGGUGUUAUUCUCCGUUUUACCUGUGUCUUCUGAAUGCAUUCUUUUCGAUGGCAACUCUAAUUCUAAUCUACAAACUGCAAUGAGCCUAAAGAAGUGUCCAUAAUAUAUUAUGACAAAUUGACUUUACUACUGCCAUUGAUCGCUACUCAGGUCAUUUUACCCUCCAUAUAUGACUUACACAAACAAGGGUUCAGUUUUACCUAUCUCGUGUGGUCUUGACACUUGAUGUUCUUUGCCUUCAGUAGAUAUUUAUACAUUUUGUUACCUCUAUUGCAUGCAUGGUAAGGAUGGCUUGCGAGUGGUGCCAGGAGCCAAUCCUUAUUGAAACGGAUAGCACUGGGAUUAUCAGGAUGCGAUGCUGGAAAGUAAGAAGCGAGAUAUUUCUGAACUAGGAAAUCUUACCGCUGAGGCUAAAUUAUUAGUGAGCUCUGAUCGCAUUACCAUGUUCUCAGAAUAAUGCUAUCCAUGAAUUGGCAAGGUUUGUAGUUUAAACAGCCAUACUGCAGUAUGGGUAGGGUCUGAGCCAGAAACUAUUUUGGAUGCCCUUUGAAGGGAUUGUAAUUUAAUUAAUACAAUUCCUUUACGCCCGCAGAAAAAAAAGAUGAGGCUGGUAGAAUGAAAACAUUGCAGUGAAGGGAGUAGUGAUUUGAAAAUUUUGAUCAUCAUCUGUUGUAAAAGCAUGGAGGGAAAUGUCUGUUAAGUGCGAGAAUGUACCAUUGUGUAACUGUUGUAUUCUUUUCGUUAUCAUUUUAUUCCUAUCAGUUACCGCAA